This 274-nucleotide ribosomal RNA is filed under the name Segatella copri DSM 18205. Its description in RNAcentral is "Prevotella copri DSM 18205 partial 16S ribosomal RNA". It matches the Rfam family "Bacterial small subunit ribosomal RNA", at positions 502 to 776 of the family's 1533-position model. The record is from RNAcentral. Lineage: Bacteria; Pseudomonadati; Bacteroidota; Bacteroidia; Bacteroidales; Prevotellaceae.
UAUGGUAAUCCGCCGCGGUAAUACGGAAGGUCCGGGCGUUAUCCGGAUUUAUUGGGUUUAAAGGGAGCGUAGGCCGGAGAUUAAGCGUGUUGUGAAAUGUAGAUGCUCAACAUCUGCACUGCAGCGCGAACUGGUUUCCUUGAGUACGCACAAAGUGGGCGGAAUUCGUGGUGUAGCGGUGAAAUGCUUAGAUAUCACGAAGAACUCCGAUUGCGAAGGCAGCUCACUGGAGCGCAACUGACGCUGAAGCUCGAAAGUGCGGGUAUCGAACAGG